This is a non-coding RNA of Pelobates cultripes (western spadefoot toad), 2777 nucleotides long. The record is from the annotation of a GenBank genome assembly. Lineage: Eukaryota; Metazoa; Chordata; Amphibia; Anura; Pelobatidae.
GUUUAUUCAGAGGGGACGGCAGCUCCCUUUUACAGCAAAAUUACAUCAUAAGCAUUGUCAGAGAUAACAUGGAAUAAUACAUCAAUAAUUGGUUAAGUGUUAAGUGUUUUACUCAAAGCACGUCCUACAGGGUGUGCCUUCUUAUGUCAUUACUGUCGUCAUGGAGUUCUCCCCCCGGAUUCCAGCGCCAUCUUGAAAAUUAGAGUGUUUGGUCGAUGGGUGGGGUACUCCUGAGUGACAUCUAGUGGUUAGUUUAGUAAUUUAUUGAAUAAUAUUGAGUAUAACUAAAUGGAGUAAAUAGACAUUUUACUAGCUAAAAAUAUGUCAAUAUUUCAUGUCACCAGGUCCAUGAGGGUCUCCCACGGUUUCCCGUCGCCAUCUUGCUGCACGAGGUAGUUAGUCGGUGUUAAAGGGGCAGGGGGAGGAGGGGGUUAGAAGCUUCUAGCAGCCAUCUUGAUUAGAGCACGUGUGUAUAGCUUUAUAUAUAAUAUAUCGUGGAAUGAGUAAAUAGACAUUUUCACUAACUAGGAAAUAUGUGCAGACCUUAUUUCCACAACAGUCCCCCCUAAAAUGGCUAUAUACCAUAACAACUGCUACUGUCCCUAAUAUGUCCCUAGCUGCCUGCAGCUCAUCUGUCUUAACGAGCAUCGAACACUUCACUCCGUGGGUAACCCGCAGCGGCUAGUCCACCACAUCUCCGCACGUGAGACUCGCCUGUAGAGACAGACGCUUUCCCUAUGCUAUCCCUAUGAAAAUGCAGUUGUCUGUCUGACUUGGUGGGAUUGGAGGGGUGUAUGUGGUGUGUCACAUUCUAGGUCAGUGAUGUCUUAGUGUAGUAAAGUAGGGGUUACGUUGUCUAUAGUCUUCCCUACUGUCUUCUGUAAAUACUUUUGUAUGCAAGGGAGCACGCAACAGGUUAAGAAUAAGAAGAUGAUAAUCAUUAUAAGAACAGCUGUCCCUACCUGGAAGAGGGUCCUUUGCCAACCAUUCAUCCACCCAAACCAUCUGUCCCAAGUGUCAGUGACUCCCGAAUUCUUCUUUAGCUCAUCAGAAAGACUAUCUAGCUUCUCUAUGGCCAUAGUUACCUUACCAUUGGGCCCAGUGUUGUCUGGAAUGAAUGUGCAGCAUGUCAUGGUUUCAGGGAGGAUCUUAUAUACACCCCCCUUCUCGGCUAAAAUCAUAUCUAGGGCCAUUCUGUUUUGAAAUGUCAUUUGGGUGGUGGCUUGUAACUGCUCUGCCAGGCCCUGUAGGGCAUCCCUAGUGUAGUUGACAAAGCGCUGUUGAUUAUAGUAAAUGUAGUUAAUCCAAUUGAUAUUCUUAUUAGCAGUUAUCAUUGGAAUUAAGGAUUCAAAUCCUGCUGCCACUUCAUCCCUUGCUUUGAACUCGCUAGGCACCCCCCUUGGCACACCUAUGGCAUCAAUAUACACAUGGGGGUCGAAGCUCCCUCGGAUGGGAGCCUCUCGUUUGGUUCUAGAAUGUACAUGUGUAAGGUUUAAUGUGUUAUGACUACCAUCUGGAAUAAUGUGGAUAGGCAUUAUAACUUUGGCUAGGGCACACUCCCCCCACCAUUGCCCAGCUAGUUGGGCCCUCAAUUGUCUGUCACCACAUAACCAAUAGAUAUCUCCAAUGAUCUUUGCAUGAUUUAUUAGCAGUGACACAGGUGGGCUAUGGUAGGUUGAGCAAUAUCCAGAUGGAAAUCUGCCCAGAUACACACCAGUAUUCUUAGGUAUAGCAUAACAUGUGUAAUUACCUGGAUACACGGUGACUCCAUCAGGUGGCUUGACAUAUCCAUGAGUGAUUGGGUAAACCCUUUUCCAUGAUUCACAUGUUGAGGAAUUUGUGGUGGACUGUGCAUAGAGGCUUAGGACACAUAAUUCUACUUCGGGAGGUAAACUUAGAGGUACCGUACCCAGAUGGGGCCUAGCUCCUCCACAUACAUAGCAAUUAGUCUUAUUGUGUGAGUUGGCAUUAUACCUCAUCCAUUCUAGCCACAAAUUAGUGUCUGAAAACCCAGUCUCUACCGCCAUAGUGUCUUCAAAGGUGGGAUUGGCUAUAGCUACCAUGUCAUGUAGAGUCUUAAUAUGUGGUUUUAACGGGUUAAUAGUCAUGUGAGUGGUUCCUACCCAGUCUGGUGAGGUGAGCCUUUUUGCUAGGUAUGUCUUUGUAUAUGGCUGCAUAUUGUGUUUGUGGAAAAGGUGCAAACAACUAUGUCACAGUAAUCAAAGGUGUAUGUAGCUACAUAUGUGUUAGAAGAAUUGUACCAGAAAGUGUAAACAUGAUUAUCUUUGGUUAUGACCACUUGUUGGGCCCAGGCAAAGUGUAGCAGCAUAAGAAAACACACGACACAUAAUAAAUUCAUAUUUCCGCAGGAUUAGCCUCUUCUGGAGCAGGCACUUUUUUGCAAUGUGAGGCGUGUAUCCAAGAACUCUUCCCGGCUAGUUUAACUGACGUUGCUGUAAUCAGGAGCACUUGAUAAGGACCAUCAAAUCUCGGUUCUAGGGUGUGUUUCCUGAGAAACUUCUUGACCAUAACCCAAUCACCAGGAAGCAGCUUGUGUGUACCUGUAUUCGACUCAGGAUCUGGAAUAGAAGAAAACACUUGGGCAUGUAUUUUGGUCAAGGCAUGUGAGAGGGCAGUCACAUAGUCUACCAUAGCAUCUGACUGAAUCUGAAGUUGUUGAGGGAAGUAACAACCUAGUCUGGGUGCUGUACCAAAUAAAAUCUCAUAAGGUGAUAGGCUAUAUUUUCCUCUAGGAGUGUACCUCACGCUAAACAACG